Molecule: ribosomal RNA, 454 nt
Filed under: uncultured bacterium
Lineage: Bacteria
Description: partial 16S ribosomal RNA
Rfam family: Bacterial small subunit ribosomal RNA
Source: RNAcentral
GAUGAACGCUGACAGAAUGCUUAACACAUGCAAGUCUACUUGAACUUCGGUUUGGGUGGCGGACGGGUGAGUAACGCGUAAAGAACUUGCCUCACAGUUAGGGACAACAUUUGGAAACGAAUGCUAAUACCUGAUAUUAUGAUUUUAGGGCAUCCUAAAAUUAUGAAAGCUAUAUGCGCUGUGAGAGAGCUUUGCGUCCCAUUAGCUAGUUGGAGAGGUAACGGCUCACCAAGGCGAUGAUGGGUAGCCGGCCUGAGAGGGUGAACGGCCACAAGGGGACUGAGACUCGGCCCUUACUCCUACGGGAGGCAGCAGUGGGGAAUAUUGGACAAUGGACCAAAAGUCUGAUCCAGCAAUUCUGUGUGCACGAUGACGUUUUUCGGAAUGUAAAGUGCUUUCAGUUGGGAAGAAAAAAAUGACGGUACCAACAGAAGAAGUGACGGCUAAAUACGUG